Molecule: transfer RNA, 72 nt
Filed under: Aedes aegypti (yellow fever mosquito)
Lineage: Eukaryota; Metazoa; Arthropoda; Insecta; Diptera; Culicidae
Description: tRNA-Asp (GTC) (tRNA-Asp-GTC-11-1)
Rfam family: tRNA
About the family: Transfer RNA (tRNA) molecules are approximately 80 nucleotides in length.
Source: Rfam by way of RNAcentral
UCCUCGAUAGUAUAGUGGUCAGUAUCCCCGCCUGUCACGCGAGAGACCGGGGUUCAAUUCCCCGUUGGGGAG